Molecule: long non-coding RNA, 711 nt
Organism: Zingiber officinale
Lineage: Eukaryota; Viridiplantae; Streptophyta; Magnoliopsida; Zingiberales; Zingiberaceae
Exons: 3
Source: RefSeq, a predicted model, not a curated record
AAGCCGACCCAUCUUCACGUCUUUAUCUUCAAGCUCCAUCUCGUCUUCUCUCUUGGAAAUCAAAGACAAGGGCGGCGGGCGACAUGGAGAGGGUUGCGCUACUCUGCUCCUUAUCUUGCUCCAGCACUAUCUGAAGCCUCCUUCUCUCCUCACCACGCUCCUUGUCUCGCCUCUUCUCCUCCAAUAUCUCCAGGCCCCGGAGGUCACAGCAGUUCUUCCCCUACACUGUGUUGACUCUCCACUUUUGGUGGAAGCACCCCACACCGCUGCUAUGCUUGGGGCGAGGUUUUCCAAUAAAUUCCAUCCGUGCAGUCUCCACCUCCCUUAUCGAGAGAGGUUAUUCAUAAAAAGCAAAAAGAAUGACGAUGCAUUAUAAAUAUUAUCAUAGACUAUCUCGCAAGGGUUACAUCGACUUAGAGGCUGAAUUGGGUAAUGUUAAACAAAAUGGUGGUGUUGAAUGUGAAUAUUGUGUGAUGCGGUACAUGAAAGAGAUAGUCUUGGAUGAAGAUCCACAAUUGGAGAGAAAGGUGUAUUUUUUUUCUUUAUGAAAUAUUUUCUUUAUAAAAUAUUGAAUCAUUUUUUAUCGAUCCUCAAACUCCUGUUAAUGUUUCAGUUUGCAGCAUCAAAAAAUAAACAGUAUUACAAUCAAUCUCAGUAUGAUGAAGUCAGAAGUGAAUGGAGCGAAUUCGUCUACUUCUAUGUGGGUGCCUA